RNAcentral lists this ribosomal RNA (329 nucleotides) under uncultured eukaryote. RNAcentral's name for it is "partial 18S ribosomal RNA". It matches the Rfam family "Eukaryotic small subunit ribosomal RNA", at positions 1470 to 1796 of the family's 1831-position model. The record is from RNAcentral.
CCCUUAGACGUUCUGGGCCGCACGCGCGCUACACUGACCAGUGCAACAAGCAUCCGUCCUUGGCCGACAGGCCCGGGCAAUCUUUGAACGCUGGUCGUGAUGGGGAUAGACUUUUGCAAUUUUUGGUCUUCAACGAGGAAUUCCUAGUAAACGCAAGUCAUCAACUUGCAUUGAUUACGUCCCUGCCCUUUGUACACACCGCCCGUCGCACCUACCGAUUGAAUGAUCCGGUGAGGCCCCCGGAUUGUGGCAAUGGCUCUGGUUCGCCAGACCAAUGCUGCGAGAAGCUGUCCAAACCUUAUCAUUUAGAGGAAGGAGAAGUCGUAACA